Molecule: ribosomal RNA, 253 nt
Filed under: uncultured bacterium
Lineage: Bacteria
Description: partial 16S ribosomal RNA
Rfam family: Bacterial small subunit ribosomal RNA
Source: RNAcentral
UACGAAGGGGGCGAGCGUUGUUCGGAAUUACUGGGCGUAAAGGGCGCGCAGGCGGCUCUGAAAGUCAGAUGUGAAAGCCCCGGGCUUAACCUGGGAAUUGCAUUUGAUACUCUGGAGCUUGAGUACGGGAGAGGAGAGUGGAAUUCCCAGUGUAGAGGUGAAAUUCGUAGAUAUUGGGAAGAACACCGGUGGCGAAGGCGGCUCCCUGGACCGUAACUGACGCUGAGGCGCGAAAGCGUGGGGAGCAAACAGG